AACCGCUUUUGGGGGGGAAGAAUCGGACGGUACCCCCCGAAUAAGCCCCGGCUAACUCUGUGCCAGCAGCCGCGGUAAUACAGAGGGGGCAAGCGUUGUCCGGAUUGACUGGGCGUAAAGCGCACGUAGGUGGUUGGUUACGUGGUGUGUGAAAGCUCAGGGCUUAACCCUGAUAGGCCAUGCCAAACGAACCGACUUGAGGCUGAGCAGAGGCGGGUGGAAUUGCCGGUGUAGUGGUGAAAUGCGUAGAGAUCGGCAGGAACACCAAGGGGGAACCCAGCCCGCUGGGCCAGUCCUGACACUGAGGUGCGACAGCGUGGGGAGCGAACAGGAUUAGAUACCCUGGUAGUCCACGCCGCAAACGAUGUCUGCUCGCCUUGUGGGAGUUAUCCAUACUCCUGGGAGGCUUAGCUCACGCGGUAAGCAGACCGCCUGGGAACUACGAGCGCAAGCUUAAAACUCAAAGGAAUUGACGGGGGCCCGCACAAGCAGCGGAGCGUGUGGUUUAAUUCGACGCAACGCGAAACACCUUACCUGGCCUUGACAUGCACCUGCAAGCCGGUGAAAGCCGGUCGCCUUCGAGGGUGGUGCACAGAUGCUGCAUGGCUGUCGUCAGCUCG
RNAcentral lists this ribosomal RNA (620 nucleotides) under uncultured bacterium. RNAcentral's name for it is "bacterial SSU rRNA". It matches the Rfam family "Bacterial small subunit ribosomal RNA", at positions 428 to 1062 of the family's 1533-position model. The record is from RNAcentral.